RNAcentral lists this ribosomal RNA (746 nucleotides) under Salmonella enterica subsp. enterica serovar Typhimurium. Its description in RNAcentral is "partial 23S ribosomal RNA". It matches the Rfam family "Bacterial large subunit ribosomal RNA", at positions 757 to 1415 of the family's 2925-position model. Lineage: Bacteria; Pseudomonadati; Pseudomonadota; Gammaproteobacteria; Enterobacterales; Enterobacteriaceae. The record is from RNAcentral.
UAACACUAACUGGAGGACCGAACCGACUAAUGUUGAAAAAUUAGCGGAUGACCUGUGGCUGGGGGUGAAAGGCCAAUCAAACCGGGAGAUAGCUGGUUCUCCCCGAAAGCUAUUUAGGUAGCGCCUCGUGAAUUCAUCUCCGGGGGUAGAGCACUGUUUCGGCUAGGGGGCCAUCCCGGCUUACCAACCCGAUGCAAACUGCGAAUACCGGAGAAUGUUAUCACGGGAGACACACGGCGGGUGCUAACGUCCGUCGUGAAGAGGGAAACAACCCAGACCGCCAGCUAAGGUCCCAAAGUCAUGGUUAAGUGGGAAACGAUGUGGGAAGGCCCAGACAGCCAGGAUGUUGGCUUAGAAGCAGCCAUCAUUUAAAGAAAGCGUAAUAGCUCACUGGUCGAGUCGGCCUGCGCGGAAGAUGUAACGGGGCUAAACCAUGCACCGAAGCUGCGGCAGCGAACGUAUCACCCAAGACAACUUUACGGAGUUGACGAUUGACGGAGCGAAGCGACGUCAAAGCGUUCAUUAAAGUCGAGUUGGCUUAGGGAUACGUUCGUUGGGUAGGGGAGCGUUCUGUAAGCCUGUGAAGGUGUGUCGUGAGGCAUGCUGGAGGUAUCAGAAGUGCGAAUGCUGACAUAAGUAACGAUAAAGCGGGUGAAAAGCCCGCUCGCCGGAAGACCAAGGGUUCCUGUCCAACGUUAAUCGGGGCAGGGUGAGUCGACCCCUAAGGCGAGGCCGAAAGGCGUAGU